Non-coding RNA from Petromyzon marinus (sea lamprey), 1800 nucleotides. The record is from RefSeq and is a predicted model, not a curated record. Lineage: Eukaryota; Metazoa; Chordata; Hyperoartia; Petromyzontiformes; Petromyzontidae.
GGGGGGGGGUGCAAGUCGGGGUGUGUGAAUGGGGGUGGUGGUCGCUCGUUCACCAGCACGUGUUUCCUCAAAUGGCGAAAAAGUCUCGCGAGCAGGAGGCGUUAGAGGUGGUUCAUACAAUAGGCGUUCAAGGUGGUUCAUACAAUAGGUGUUAAAGGUGGUUCAUACAAUAGGCGUUGAAGGUGGUUCAAGCAGGAGGCGUUCAAGGUGGUUCAUACAAUAGGCGUUGAAGGUGGUUCAUACAAUAGGUGUUGAAUGUGGUUCAUACAAUAGGCGUUCGAGGUGGUUCAUACAAUAGGCGUUAAAGGUGGUUCAUACAAUAUGUGUUGAAGGUGGUUCAUACAAUAGGCGUUCAAGGUGGUUCAUACAAUAGGUGUUAAAGGUGGUUCAUACAAUAGGCGUUCAAGGUGGUUCAUACAAUAGGCGUUCAAGGUGGUUCAUACAAUAGGAGUUGAAGGUGGUUCAUACAAUAGGCGUUAAAGGUGGUUCAUACAAUAGGCGUUCAAGGUGGUUCAUACAAUAGGCGUUCAAGGUGGUUCAUACAAUAGGCGUUCAAGGUGGUUCAUACAAUAGGCGUUAAAGGUGGUUCAUACAAUAGGCGUUCAAGGUGGUUCAUACAAUAGGCGUUAAAGGUGGUUCAUACAAUAGGCGUUCAAGGUGGUUCAUACAAUAGGCGUUAAAGGUGGGUCAUACAAUAGGUGUUCAAGGUGGUUCAUACAAUAGGCGUUCAAGGUGGUUCAUACAAUAGGCGUUCAAGGUGGUUCAUACAAUAGGUGUUCAAGGUGGUUCAUACAAUAGGCGUUAAAGGUGGUUCAUACAAUAGGCGUUAAAGGUGGUUCAUACAAUAGGCGUUAAAGGUGGUUCAUACAAUAGGCGUUCAAGGUGGUUCAUACAAUAGGCGUUCAAGGUGGUUCAUACAAUAGGCGUUCAAGGUGGUUCAUACAAUAGGCGUUCAAGGUGGUUCAUACAAUAGGCGUUAAAGGUGGUUCAUACAAUAGGUGUUAAAGGUGGUUCAUACAAUAGGCGUUCAAGGUGGUUCAUACAAUAGGUGUUAAAGGUGGUUCAUACAAUAGGUGUUAAAGGUGGUUCAUACAAUAGGCGUUCAAGGUGGUUCAUACAAUAGGUGUUAAAGGUGGUUCAUACAAUAGGUGUUAAAGGUGGUUCAUACAAUAGGCGUUGAAGGUGGUUCAUACAAUAGGCGUUCAAGGUGGUUCAUACAAUAGGCGUUCAAGGUGGUUCAUACAAUAGGUGUUCAAGGUGGUUCAUACAAUAGGUGUUCAAGGUGGUUCAUACAAUAGGCGUUGAAGGUGGUUCAUACAAUAGGCGUUCAAGGUGGUUCAUACAAUAGGCGUUCAAGGUGGUUCAUACAAUAGGUGUUAAAGGUGGUUCAAGCAGCAGCAGGAGGAGGCGUUCGAGGCGGUUCAAAGUUACAAGUUGGGGGUGGGGGAGGCGACAACCCCGGCGGGAUUCGUCUCGCGGGGAUUCGCGCCCUCGCCUGCGCCCUCGCCUGCGCCCUGCUUCCGAGUCUCCUGCUGCCCACUUGGAAAGUCGACGUUCCCGCGGCGGGGCAGCGUACGGUCGGAGCGGCGCGCACCUCUCACGCUUCGGUGACACGGGCAAGGGAGGCGAAGGGCUCUCGAAGGACUGUGGGGGUGGAGAAGAGGGUAACAGACGUCACCACCACCACCAUCGCCAAGUUAACCACCGUCUCCUCGCCACUGUCGCCACCAAAACCACCACCGUCACAACCACCACCAUCACCACGAACUUAACCACCAUCAUCACCACUGUCGUCACAAC